UUGCUUCAGAAGCACAUGUAUUAAAAUUGGCACAAUACAGAGAUUAGCAUGGCCCCUGUGCAAGGAUGACACACAAAUUUGUGAAGCAGUCCAUAUUCUA
Molecule: small nuclear RNA, 100 nt
Organism: Balaenoptera musculus (blue whale)
Lineage: Eukaryota; Metazoa; Chordata; Mammalia; Artiodactyla; Balaenopteridae
Source: Ensembl